Molecule: ribosomal RNA, 694 nt
Filed under: uncultured bacterium
Lineage: Bacteria
Description: bacterial SSU rRNA
Rfam family: Bacterial small subunit ribosomal RNA
Source: RNAcentral
AACGCUAGCUACAGGCUUAACACAUGCAAGUCGCGGGGUAACGAGAGGGAAGCUUGCUUUCCUUGUCGACGACCGGCGCACGGGUGAGUAACGCGUAUCCAACCUGCCCAUUACCACGGGAUACCCCGUCGAAAGGCGGCCUAAUACCGUAUGCAGUCGUCAGAUGACAUCAGAGGACGACGAAAGGAUUGGCGGUAAUGGAUGGGGAUGCGUCUGAUUAGGUAGUUGGAGGGGUAACGGCCCACCAAGCCAUCGAUCAGUAGGGGUUCUGAGAGGAAGGUCCCCCACAUUGGAACUGAGACACGGUCCAAACUCCUACGGGAGGCAGCAGUGAGGAAUAUUGGUCAAUGGGCGCGAGCCUGAACCAGCCAAGUAGCGUGAGGGACGACGGCCCUAUGGGUUGUAAACCUCUUUUAUGCGGGAAUAAAAUGUUUGACGUGUCAUUCAUUGUAGGUACCGCAAGAAUAAGGACCGGCUAAUUCCGUGCCAGCAGCCGCGGUAAUACGGAAGGUCCAGGCGUUAUCCGGAUUUAUUGGGUUUAAAGGGAGCGUAGGCCGCAAGUCAAGCGUGUUGUGAAAUGCAGGGGCUCAACCUCUGGAUUGCAGCGCGAACUGGCAUGCUUGAGUACGCACGAGGUAGGCGGAAUUUGUGGUGUAGCGGUGAAAUGCUUANAUAUCACGAAGAACUCCGAUUG